This 26-nucleotide non-coding RNA is filed under the name Rattus norvegicus (Norway rat). Lineage: Eukaryota; Metazoa; Chordata; Mammalia; Rodentia; Muridae. The record is from RNAcentral.
GUCUGAAUACCCAGCCACCUCUCAGA